UACGGAGGGGGCUAGCGUUGUUCGGAAUUACUGGGCGCAAAGCGCACGUAGGCGGCUUUGCAAGUUAGAGGUGAAAGCCCGGGGCUCAACUCCGGAAUUGCCUUUAAAACUGCAUCGCUAGAAUUGUGGAGAGGUAAGUGGAAUUCCGAGUGUAGAGGUGAAAUUCGUAGAUAUUCGGAAGAACACCAGUGGCGAAGGCGGCGAUCUGGGUCGAUACUGACGCUGAGGUGCGAAAGCGUGGGGAGCAAACAGG
Molecule: ribosomal RNA, 253 nt
Filed under: uncultured bacterium
Lineage: Bacteria
Description: partial 16S ribosomal RNA
Rfam family: Bacterial small subunit ribosomal RNA
Source: RNAcentral